GAACGCGAAGAACCUUACCAGGUCUUGACAUCCUCUGACAACCCAAGAGAUUGGGCUUUCCCUUCGGGGACAGAGAGACAGGUGGUGCAUGGUUGUCGUCAGCUCGUGUCGUGAGAUGUUGGGUUAAGUCCCGCAACGAGCGCAACCCCUGUGGUUAGUUGCCAUCAUUUAGUUGGGCACUCUAAGCAGACUGCCGUGGAUAACACGGAGGAAGGUGGGGACGACGUCAAAUCAUCAUGCCCCUUAUGACCUGGGCUACACACGUGCUACAAUGGAUGGUACAACGAGCAGCAAGACCGCGAGGUCAAGCGAAUCUCUUAAAGCCAUUCUCAGUUCGGAUUGCAGGCUGCAACUCGCCUGCAUGAAGCCGGAAUCGCUAGUAAUCGCGGAUCAGCACGCCGCGGUGAAUACGUUCCCGGGUCUUGUACACACCG
This 434-nucleotide ribosomal RNA is filed under the name uncultured bacterium. RNAcentral describes it as "bacterial SSU rRNA". It matches the Rfam family "Bacterial small subunit ribosomal RNA", at positions 957 to 1392 of the family's 1533-position model. The record is from RNAcentral.